RNAcentral lists this ribosomal RNA (1049 nucleotides) under Akanthomyces muscarius. RNAcentral describes it as "SSU rRNA". It matches the Rfam family "Eukaryotic small subunit ribosomal RNA", at positions 73 to 1133 of the family's 1831-position model. Lineage: Eukaryota; Fungi; Ascomycota; Sordariomycetes; Hypocreales; Cordycipitaceae. The record is from RNAcentral.
AUUAUACAGCGAAACUGCGAAUGGCUCAUUAUAUAAGUUAUCGUUUAUUUGAUAGUACCUUACUACUUGGAUAACCGUGGUAAUUCUAGAGCUAAUACAUGCUAAAAAUCCCGACUUCGGAAGGGAUGUAUUUAUUAGAUUAAAAACCAAUGCCCUCUGGGCUCCUUGGUGAUUCAUAAUAACUUUUCGAAUCGCAUGGCCUUGCGCCGGCGAUGGUUCAUUCAAAUUUCUUCCCUAUCAACUUUCGAUGUUUGGGUAUUGGCCAAACAUGGUCGCAACGGGUAACGGAGGGUUAGGGCUCGACCCCGGAGAAGGAGCCUGAGAAACGGCUACUACAUCCAAGGAAGGCAGCAGGCGCGCAAAUUACCCAAUCCCGAUUCGGGGAGGUAGUGACAAUAAAUACUGAUACAGGGCUCUUUUGGGUCUUGUAAUUGGAAUGAGUACAAUUUAAAUCCCUUAACGAGGAACAAUUGGAGGGCAAGUCUGGUGCCAGCAGCCGCGGUAAUUCCAGCUCCAAUAGCGUAUAUUAAAGUUGUUGUGGUUAAAAAGCUCGUAGUUGAACCUUGGGCCUGGCUGGCCGGUCCGCCUCACCGCGUGUACUGGUCCGGCCGGGCCUUUCCCUCUGUGGAACCUCAUGCCCUUCACUGGGUGUGGCGGGGAAACAGGACUUUUACUUUGAAAAAAUUAGAGUGCUCCAGGCAGGCCUAUGCUCGAAUACAUUAGCAUGGAAUAAUGAAAUAGGACGUGUGGUUCUAUUUUGUUGGUUUCUAGGACCGCCGUAAUGAUUAAUAGGGACAGUCGGGGGCAUCAGUAUUCAAUUGUCAGAGGUGAAAUUCUUGGAUUUAUUGAAGACUAACUACUGCGAAAGCAUUUGCCAAGGAUGUUUUCAUUAAUCAGGAACGAAAGUUAGGGGAUCGAAGACGAUCAGAUACCGUCGUAGUCUUAACCAUAAACUAUGCCGACUAGGGAUCGGACGAUGUUAUUUUUUGACGCGUUCGGCACCUUACGAGAAAUCAAAGUGCUUGGGCUCCAGGGGGAGUAUGGUCGCA